CCUACGGGUGGCAGCAGUGAGGAAUAUUGGUCAAUGGACGCAAGUCUGAACCAGCCAUGCCGCGUGCAGGAAGAAGGUGCUAUGCAUUGUAAACUGCUUUUAUACGGGGGUAAUUACAGAUACGUGUAUCUGGAUGAAAGUACCGUAUGAAUAAGGAUCGGCUAACUCCGUGCCAGCAGCCGCGGUAAUACGGAGGAUCCGAGCGUUAUCCGGAUUUAUUGGGUUUAAAGGGUGCGUAGGCGGUCAGGUAAGUUAGAGGUGAAAGCUCGAUGCUCAACAUCGAAACUGCCUCUGAUACUGUCUGACUAGAGUGUAGUUGCGGAAGGCGGAAUGUGUGGUGUAGCGGUGAAAUGCUUAGAUAUCACACAGAACACCGAUUGCGAAGGCAGCUUUCCAAGCUAUUACUGACGCUGAGGCACGAAAGCGUGGGGAGCGAACAGGAUUAGAUACCCCUGUAGUC
RNAcentral lists this ribosomal RNA (460 nucleotides) under uncultured bacterium. Its description in RNAcentral is "partial 16S ribosomal RNA". It matches the Rfam family "Bacterial small subunit ribosomal RNA", at positions 338 to 795 of the family's 1533-position model. The record is from RNAcentral.